GACGAACGCUGGCGGCGUGCUUAACACAUGCAAGUCGAACGGUGAAGGGAUCAGCUUGCUGGUUCUGGAUGAGUGGCGAACGGGUGAGUAACACGUGAGUAACCUGCCCCCUUCUUCUGGAUAACCGCAUGAAAGUGUGGCUAAUACGGGAUAUUCUGGGUCUGUCGCAUGAUGGGUCUGGGAAAGAUCUUGUUUCGGUGGGGGAUGGGCUCGCGGCCUAUCAGCUUGUUGGUGGGGUGAUGGCCUACCAAGGCGGUGACGGGUAGCCGGCCUGAGAGGGUGGACGGUCACACUGGGACUGAGACACGGCCCAGACUCCUACGGGAGGCAGCAGUGGGGAAUAUUGCACAAUGGGCGCAAGCCUGAUGCAGCGACGCCGCGUGAGGGAUGGAGGCCUUCGGGUUGUAAACCUCUUUCGCCAGUGAAGCAGGCCUGCUCCUUGUGGGUGGGUUGACGGUAGCUGGAUAAGAAGCGCCGGCUAACUACGUG
This 489-nucleotide ribosomal RNA is filed under the name uncultured bacterium. RNAcentral's name for it is "partial 16S ribosomal RNA". It matches the Rfam family "Bacterial small subunit ribosomal RNA", at positions 28 to 507 of the family's 1533-position model. The record is from RNAcentral.